UUUUACUAGGAUUCAAUUUCAGGAAUUGUGGAAAAACUGAGUUUAAAUAUAUUUGGCUAAGGUGUAUGUAAACUUUUGACUUCAACGGUAUAUUCCCUGUAUAGUGCACUACUUUUGAGAGAAGGGUGCUACUUAGGACACAGCUGUUGAUUUGGAAGCACACAGCCAGUCUUCCUGUGAUCUACCAUUAAAUAACAUGACUAAUACAGUAGUGUUCGGAUCUCACAAACAAGAUGGACGACAAAGAUCUUUUGUUCCAUUGUCUCAAAAUAAAAAAUCAUCGUCCCGAAUGACCCCCCCCCCUAUUCCCUAUUUAGUGCACUACUUUUGUCCUCUGGUAGUGUACUAUAAAGGGAAUAGACUGUCAUUUGGGAUAUACCUUUUGUAGAGUGUCUGAUGAGUAGCCUUGAUUCAGCAUUAUACACAUUAUGCGUCAUAAUACACAAGUGGCUAUCAUCAACGCAGUGUUUAUAUUAUUACUGUGUUCCUGCACUUUAACCUUUUAAAAGAACAACUCUAAAAACAAAAAAAAAGAUCAACUUUUUCAAACAUUUAUUUCAUACACAAACAAAAAAAAGGGGGAAAAUUAAAUAGCUACAUGUCAUUAAACAAAUUGAUCCUCAAAAAAUACCUACAAUUUUCUCUGUACAAUCGUUACGCACAGCGUAAUGAUGGUCUCAUAAUUAACUAUAUAUAAAAAAAGUUGUUUUUUUUAUUAAGUGAUUUUCCUACAGCGUGCAGGGCAUUGUGUUGCCAUAGCAGAACGAGUAAGAGCCUCCAAAAAAAUGAUAAUUCCCAGGUCACCAGAAAUGUGCGACCCUAGUGCUAUGGUAGUGACACGUUUUUAUAAUGAAAUGACCUCUUGACACUACGCCCCUUCCCUUUCUGUUCAUGCACAUUAUAAAUGACAAUUAUUUUAAAGGACAUUAUCAACGUUUUAGUUCUCUCAUAACAUUUACCGAAAGUACAAAGUGAAAAUCAACCAGUCAUCUUUGACUAUACAUUAGUUUUUGUUUAAAUCUGAACUCAGAUUAAAGUCAAUAAUAAUAACAUCAACUGACUAGCAGCUGGAUCAGCUCUGAGAUAAUAUGGUUUAGGUUCAGCUGGAUCAGCUCUGAGAGAAUAUGGUUUAGGUUCAGCUGGAUCAGCUCUGAGAGAAUAUGGUUUAGGAUCAGCUCUGAGAGAAUAUGGUUUAGGUUCAGCUGGAUCCGGUCUCUGAGAGAAUGUGGUUUAGGUUCAGCUGGAUCCGGUCUCUGAGAGAAUAUGGUUUAGGUUCAACUGGAUCCGGUCUCUGAGAGAAUAUGGUUUAGGUUCAGCUGGAUCCGGUCUCUGAGAGAAUAUGGUUUAGGUUCAGCUGGAUCCGGUCUCUGAGAGAAUAUGAUUUAGGUUCAACUGGAUCCGGUCUCUGAGAGAAUGUGGUUUAGGUUCAGCUGGAUCCGGUCUCUGAGAGAAUGUGGUUUAGGUUCAGCUGGAUCCGGUCUCUGAGAGAAUAUGGUUUAGGUUCAGCUGAAUCCGGUCUCUGAGAGAAUAUGGUUUAGGUUCAGCUGGAUCCGGUCUCUGAGAAAAUAUGGUUUAGGUUCAACUGGAUCCGGUCUCUGAGAGAAUGUGGUUUAGGUUCAGCUGGAUCCGGGCUCUGAGAGAAUAUGGUUUAGGUUCAGCUGGAUCCGGUCUCUGAGAGAAUGUGGUUUAGGCUCCGUCCCUAAUGACAUCCCUAAUCCUU
Non-coding RNA from Oncorhynchus mykiss (rainbow trout), 1720 nucleotides. The record is from RefSeq and is a predicted model, not a curated record. NCBI's taxonomy places the organism in Eukaryota, Metazoa, Chordata, Actinopteri, Salmoniformes, Salmonidae.